ACCUUCUCGGAAGUUUUUAUGUGAGGAUUUUGAAAAAAAAAAUUAGCCGUUUUUUUUUAAUCAGCCGAAUAUAUAAACGAUAG
Neodiprion fabricii is the source of this 83-nucleotide long non-coding RNA. RefSeq lists it as uncharacterized. The transcript has 3 exons. Lineage: Eukaryota; Metazoa; Arthropoda; Insecta; Hymenoptera; Diprionidae. The record is from RefSeq and is a predicted model, not a curated record.